RNAcentral lists this small nuclear RNA (106 nucleotides) under Nicotiana sylvestris (wood tobacco). RNAcentral also lists the same sequence under 1 other name. The record is from RNAcentral. Lineage: Eukaryota; Viridiplantae; Streptophyta; Magnoliopsida; Solanales; Solanaceae.
GUCCCUUCGGGGACAUCCAAUAAAAUUAGAAUGACACAUAGAAAAUUAGCAUGAUGGCCCCUGUGCAAGGAUGACAAGCGCAAAUCGAGAAAUGGUCCUGAUUUUU